GCUAUAUACACACCACAACCAAACAUGUCUCCGGAAGAGGUGUUUGUGGAGGACAGUGGUCGGCAGCCAGAGAGACCUCCCAAAAAUCAGCCGGCAAGCUGGAUGAGGAGGGACUAGAGCUUGCCGUCUGUCGACAUGGAGUGCUCCUCUGUGCUCUCAAUAUGUACAGGGGAGAAAUCUUUGCUUAUCCCCUGUACCUACAGAAAAAGCUGGCCAGUAGUAUGUUAUUUUGCAUGGAUGUGACCUGCAAAUAUUGGCCCUACCUCCAGAGAAUCACAAAAAGCUGUCCAGAGCUCCAGCAUCUUCUCGACAUGAAGCCCUUUCUCUCAGUGUUUCAUGCCAAAGCGCAUGACUUCAAAUGUGAAGUGAAAUGGAGUGGGGCAUAUCAAGAGGGGGCUGGACUAACCCUAGGGGAGGAGGUGGAACAGGUCAAUGCCUUCCUCUCUCGGAUAGCAGUGACCACAAAACACAUGUCAAAAGCAGGACGUACAGACAUGCUGACGCUGAUGGCCAUGCGCUGGAAUCAGCAAAAAGUCAGCAACUUGGCCACCUCACUGUCAGAUAUC
Long non-coding RNA from Trematomus bernacchii (emerald rockcod), 566 nucleotides. RefSeq lists it as uncharacterized. The transcript is spliced from 4 exons. NCBI's taxonomy places the organism in Eukaryota, Metazoa, Chordata, Actinopteri, Perciformes, Nototheniidae. The record is from RefSeq and is a predicted model, not a curated record.